Odocoileus virginianus texanus is the source of this 1196-nucleotide non-coding RNA. NCBI's taxonomy places the organism in Eukaryota, Metazoa, Chordata, Mammalia, Artiodactyla, Cervidae. The record is from RefSeq and is a predicted model, not a curated record.
GCCAUGGGGUCACAAAAGAAUAGGACACAACUUAGCGACUAAACAAGUAUAAAACAGUUUUUGUUCCUACCAUGCAACUGUUUCUUGAAAGAAUUCCAAUAAAGGUUUCCCAGUAAUCAUGUACAUUUUAUGGAAGUCUAUAUACAUACAUAUAUAUAAUUGCUUUUAAAUUUAUUUUCUAAUUGAGGAAAUUGAAUAUCCAGAGAGAUGGAUGGGAAAAUGGAAAACAGUCCAUUUUUUUCUGUUCAUUCUCAUCCAUGGUCUUUUACCUAAAGAUUCCAUCUAAUUAGUUCACCUGUGAGGUUGCAAAUAUCACCUGUGAUAUUCCAAAGGAAACUAGAUUGACUAGAUGGGAUGUUAAAGGAAAGUUUAUCAUCUUGAAUGACUGUAAGCAUCUCCCUUACACUAUGGAAUAACUUAUGUACUGUCAAAUCCAGUAGUUUCAUGGCACAGAUACAUUUUACAGGAUGAGUCUUGUAGUCCAUCUAUUCCUCCUGUACCAUCUUCUAUUCAUCCUUCCUAAAUGGCAUUUAUUUUCAAGGUAAUUCACUUGUGAUUACUCGUCCAUUCAAUUAAAGUUAAGUCAGCAAGAAAUCAAGAAGGGGUGAAAUCUAAGGCUUGGUGACUCAUUACUACUUCCUUGCACAGAAAUGCAAAUGAACUUACCCUUGAAGCAAGCAGCAAACUGUUUCCUUUCAUCACAAAACUCUAAUGAAUCGCAAAAAUUAAGAUUCACACAGACCACCUCUUUACCCCAACUACCUUCAAGCUGUGUUUCCCAGGCUGAACUUUUAACCAGUUUCAUCACAAUUGCUUAGAAUUCCCUGUGUCCACGGGGACCCUGAAUAUUGCGGGGAGCCCCAGGACAGUUGAAAAAGGAAGUGACCCAGCAAUUUUAGUUUCAUUUUUUUCCCCUAAUACUUAAUGAGUUGGGAAAAAUUUCCCUACUUACCCGCCAAAAAUAUUUCCUGUUGGCAUUUUUGGGAACUGUAUCACUGGUGUAGAUUUCACCUAUUAGAGGUCCAAAACGUGUUCCCUUUGCCUACAAAUCACUUACUGAGUGCCUUACUGAUACGGACGAAGAGGAGGUAAAAUGUAUUUAUUUCCCGUUUUUAUUAUCCCUCGUGGGUCCUUUAUAGUUGUGCACCUGAAAUGGUAGGCCUUUAUAGAGGAAUCAAUAAAUGUCUGCAGUGGAA